Molecule: ribosomal RNA, 248 nt
Filed under: uncultured bacterium
Lineage: Bacteria
Description: partial small subunit ribosomal RNA
Rfam family: Bacterial small subunit ribosomal RNA
Source: RNAcentral
AGAAUCAACGCUGGCGGCGUGCCUAACACAUGCAAGUCGAACGAGAAAGUGGAGCAAUCCACAAGUAAAGUGGCGCACUGGUGAGUAACACGUGACUAACCUACCCCUUGAGUGGGGGAUAACCUAGAGAAAUCUGGGCUAAUACCGCGAUAAUACCUUUCGGGUCAAAGGAGCAAUUCGCUUAAGGAGGGGGUCGCGGCCGAUUAGUUAGUUGGCGGGGUAAUGGCCCACCAAGACUAUGAUCGGUA